Molecule: ribosomal RNA, 465 nt
Filed under: uncultured Klebsiella sp.
Lineage: Bacteria; Pseudomonadati; Pseudomonadota; Gammaproteobacteria; Enterobacterales; Enterobacteriaceae
Description: bacterial SSU rRNA
Rfam family: Bacterial small subunit ribosomal RNA
Source: RNAcentral
CCUACGGGCGGCUGCAGUGGGGAAUAUUGCACAAUGGGCGCAAGCCUGAUGCAGCCAUGCCGCGUGUGUGAAGAAGGCCUUCGGGUUGUAAAGCACUUUCAGCGGGGAGGAAGGCGGCGAGGUUAAUAACCUCAUCGAUUGACGUUACCCGCAGAAGAAGCACCGGCUAACUCCGUGCCAGCAGCCGCGGUAAUACGGAGGGUGCAAGCGUUAAUCGGAAUUACUGGGCGUAAAGCGCACGCAGGCGGUCUGUCAAGUCGGAUGUGAAAUCCCCGGGCUCAACCUGGGAACUGCAUUCGAAACUGGCAGGCUAGAGUCUUGUAGAGGGGGGUAGAAUUCCAGGUGUAGCGGUGAAAUGCGUAGAGAUCUGGAGGAAUACCGGUGGCGAAGGCGGCCCCCUGGACAAAGACUGACGCUCAGGUGCGAAAGCGUGGGGAGCAAACAGGAUUAGAUACCCCGGUAGUC